GCCGGAUGAACUGCUGGUCUCUCAGAAACCACCCAGCCCGUACUGGGGAAAGGACUUCUGCGCUCCUCUGGUGUUUCCAAUCCUGGCAACAGGCGUGCUGUUCGUUUUUAUUCAGACCUAUUGGGGUACAUCACUUUGAGGUGUAAGAAGCCCCAGUCGUCCACCUGUGCUCUAGGAGGCCGUCAUGAGCAGAGACUCCGGAGUGAGUCAGUCCGCAGAGGACCAUAACAAGCCUUUAUUAUGAGGAGGAUCUGCCA
Fukomys damarensis (Damara mole-rat) is the source of this 257-nucleotide long non-coding RNA. RefSeq lists it as uncharacterized. NCBI's taxonomy places the organism in Eukaryota, Metazoa, Chordata, Mammalia, Rodentia, Bathyergidae. The record is from RefSeq and is a predicted model, not a curated record. The transcript is spliced from 3 exons.